CAGUCGCCACGGUAAUACGAGGUGGGCAAGCGUUGUUCGGAAUUAUUGGGCGUAAAGGGCGCGUAGGCGGUUUGACAAGUCUGAUGUGAAAUCUCUGGGCUCAACCCAGAGUCUGCAUCGGAAACUGUCGAGCUUGAGUAUGGGAGAGGUGAGUGGAAUUUCCGGUGUAGCGGUGAAAUGCGUAGAUAUCGGAAGGAACACCUGUGGCGAAAGCGGCUCACUGGACCAUUACUGACGCUGAGGCGCGAAAGCUAGGGGAGCAAACAGGAUUAGAUACCCCAGUAGUCCAUGUCUCUUAUAC
RNAcentral lists this ribosomal RNA (301 nucleotides) under uncultured bacterium. Its description in RNAcentral is "partial 16S ribosomal RNA". It matches the Rfam family "Bacterial small subunit ribosomal RNA", at positions 509 to 807 of the family's 1533-position model. The record is from RNAcentral.